RNAcentral lists this non-coding RNA (30 nucleotides) under Mus musculus (house mouse). The record is from RNAcentral. Lineage: Eukaryota; Metazoa; Chordata; Mammalia; Rodentia; Muridae.
UACCACAGCAGGAAUAUACGAAUCACAGAC